GACUAUGGCCAUAUUAUCCUGAACAUACCUGAUCUCAUCUGAUCUCAGAAGCUAAGCAGAAUCAAUUAGGCCUGGUUAGUUUUUGGAUGGCAGACCAAUGCCGGGUGCUAUAGGCU
RNAcentral lists this ribosomal RNA (116 nucleotides) under Phascolarctos cinereus (koala). Lineage: Eukaryota; Metazoa; Chordata; Mammalia; Diprotodontia; Phascolarctidae. The record is from RNAcentral.